UACAUAGGGUAACCGAGCGCCUUUGGCGUUAGGAAAGUCCAUACUAGCACAGACUGUGAUGUCUGUAGUGUUUGUGCCUGAUUAAUAAAUAAGUCAGGGGAUAGUUGAUGGCUAUUACGGCGGAUGAAACCUAAGGAUUUAUCUAUGGUGUAAUCCAUAAAGCGCCACAGAGACGAUUUUUUUGGAAACAAAAAAGUGGAACGGGUAAGCCCCACAAGCUAGCAACCCAAAUUUUGGUAGGGGCAUGAAAAUUGAAGGAAACGAACUUACAAUUUUUACAAGUUUUAUACUUGAGAUAAAUGGUUACCAGUUAAGUAAUAAUGCUUAAUUACAGAAUAUGGCUUAUAUAU
This is a non-coding RNA of Firmicutes bacterium CAG:313, 350 nucleotides long. It matches the Rfam family "Bacterial RNase P class B". Rfam says of the family: Ribonuclease P (RNase P) is a ubiquitous endoribonuclease, found in archaea, bacteria and eukarya as well as chloroplasts and mitochondria. Its best characterised activity is the generation of mature 5'-ends of tRNAs by cleaving the 5'-leader elements of precursor-tRNAs. NCBI's taxonomy places the organism in Bacteria, Bacillati, Bacillota. The record is from Rfam.